This 460-nucleotide long non-coding RNA is filed under the name Anas platyrhynchos platyrhynchos (common mallard). RNAcentral's name for it is "lncRNA (ENSAPLG00000018175.1)". Lineage: Eukaryota; Metazoa; Chordata; Aves; Anseriformes; Anatidae. The record is from RNAcentral.
GUCCACAGCAGAGUCAAGCCAGCUUGGUUUCCAUGGUUUCCAGCAGGGGAGAAGGAAGAAAGCACGGAUAGAUUUUUGCUAGGAUCAGAUGCUUGGUAUGCAGUAUACACAAAGCCAGGCAAUAUGCCGUGCUUCAGGAAUGGGUCCUCUUCCACUUCACCACAUUGGUGUCCACCUCAGCUCUGUCUGUGACUCAGUGGUGGAGCAUACACAUGCCAGCUGUGACAGGAAGAUAACUGCCACAAGUGGAGGGCACAUGUGAAGGACCACCAUGUCAGGACACUGAUUUGUAGUUCCCCUACAAAUUCAUACUACCCUCAUGAUUAGAAAGAUCCCUUAAGCAAGAAAAUGAAAAUUGUUAAUGCUUUUUCCCUAGGCAGAUUGUUAAAUAACCUUCUGUUUUGAUCAUCCACGGGCUCCUGUGAUCAGUCUUUCUCUCCUGUCUGGAACAGCAAUAUUU